CCACAUUUAUUGGUGGUCUGGGACAUGAUGACAGCAGUGACCAAUGAAGCCAGGACAUCUGACAACUAAACAAAGUGUUAGAACAAUGUCACCGAGUUAGUCACUGUAAGUGACUUUAUUUAGCACAAUACGUUUAUCAGUAUUUUCAUUCCAAAGCUGUUUUUAGACUAGUUCUGUAGUGGUUUGAACUAGAGACAGCUGAGGCCAACGUUAGCUUGUGUGUUUUCUGCGGUAUGUUUUGCUAAAGGUAACAUUUAACGUUAGCCUGGUAACGUUAGCUAGUGUUAAUUUUGAUAGGUAGAUAUAUCUUUUUCUUACCAGAAAUGAGACUGUAUGUUCUGUUCAGAAGCGUACAGUCACACCUUGCUACGCGUUUGUUUCUUACAACGGCACCACUGUAUCUUCGUCAACGACUAUAAUGUAACUAGUAGGCAGAGAGCAGCCAAAAAG
Etheostoma spectabile (orangethroat darter) is the source of this 450-nucleotide long non-coding RNA. RefSeq lists it as uncharacterized. The transcript has 2 exons. NCBI's taxonomy places the organism in Eukaryota, Metazoa, Chordata, Actinopteri, Perciformes, Percidae. The record is from RefSeq and is a predicted model, not a curated record.